GACCCCAGUUUAGGCG
RNAcentral lists this ribosomal RNA (16 nucleotides) under Limonium interjectum. Its description in RNAcentral is "partial 26S ribosomal RNA". The record is from RNAcentral. Lineage: Eukaryota; Viridiplantae; Streptophyta; Magnoliopsida; Caryophyllales; Plumbaginaceae.